Arabidopsis thaliana (thale cress) is the source of this 210-nucleotide RNA transcript. RefSeq lists it as uncharacterized. The transcript has a single exon. The record is from RefSeq. Lineage: Eukaryota; Viridiplantae; Streptophyta; Magnoliopsida; Brassicales; Brassicaceae.
UCUCAUUAAUUAGUUGAUGAGGGGUCGAGUUACUGCGUUCCUAACCUAACCCCUUCCUUCUCCGAGCUUUGUAUCAUAAGUGAUCCGAACCUGCCCGGAGUGAGCCUCCCAUAGAGGCAAGUUGGUGAGCCGUAUGAUGGGCAACUAUCUCCUGCGGUUUGGAGAGGACUCAGCUGUUAGUUAGUAUCCCCUUGGUUUCGGGGUGGACCC